This is a small nuclear RNA of Dendrobium catenatum, 155 nucleotides long. RefSeq annotates it as U1 spliceosomal RNA. The record is from RefSeq and is a predicted model, not a curated record. Lineage: Eukaryota; Viridiplantae; Streptophyta; Magnoliopsida; Asparagales; Orchidaceae. The transcript has a single exon.
GUACUUAUCUGGACGGAGUCUUUACGGGUGAUCAAGUAUGGCAUGUGGCUGACUAGCGACCUUCCAUUGCAAGUUGAAAGAGGCGUAGUUUUACAUCUGCAAGUGGUAGAGUAGCGUCAUAAUUUGUGGUAGGGGUUUGAUAUGCGCGGCCCUUU